UUGUUAUGUAUGGUUGCUGGGCAGCGCUGGGGCUAUAGACAGGCUGGGUUGUUAUUGUAGGGUUGCUGGGCAGCGCUGGGGCUGUGGCCAGGCUGGGUUGUUUUGUAUGGUUGCUGGGCAGCCGUGGGCUGUGGACAGGCUGGUGUUUCUAUUGUAGGGUUGUGUGGCGCGCUGAGGGCUAAUAGACAGGCUGGGUUGUUGUUGUAGGGUUGCUGUGCAGCGCUGGGGCUGUGGACAGGCUGGGUUGUUAUUGUAGGGUUGCUGGGCAGCGCUGGGCUAUAGACAGGCUGGUUCUGGGUUGUUAUUGUAGGGUUGCUGGCAGCGCUGGGGCUGUGGAC
Non-coding RNA from Chelonoidis abingdonii (Abingdon island giant tortoise), 338 nucleotides. NCBI's taxonomy places the organism in Eukaryota, Metazoa, Chordata, Testudines, Testudinidae. The record is from RefSeq and is a predicted model, not a curated record.